Molecule: ribosomal RNA, 465 nt
Filed under: Vreelandella stevensii
Lineage: Bacteria; Pseudomonadati; Pseudomonadota; Gammaproteobacteria; Oceanospirillales; Halomonadaceae
Description: partial 16S ribosomal RNA
Rfam family: Bacterial small subunit ribosomal RNA
Source: RNAcentral
CCUACGGGGGGCUGCAGUGGGGAAUAUUGGACAAUGGGGGGAACCCUGAUCCAGCCAUGCCGCGUGUGUGAAGAAGGCCCUCGGGUUGUAAAGCACUUUCAGUGAGGAAGAACGCCUGGUGGUUAAUACCCAUCAGGAAAGACAUCACUCACAGAAGAAGCACCGGCUAACUCCGUGCCAGCAGCCGCGGUAAUACGGAGGGUGCGAGCGUUAAUCGGAAUUACUGGGCGUAAAGCGCGCGUAGGUGGCUUGAUAAGCCGGUUGUGAAAGCCCCGGGCUCAACCUGGGAACGGCAUCCGGAACUGUCAAGCUAGAGUGCAGGAGAGGAAGGUAGAAUUCCCGGUGUAGCGGUGAAAUGCGUAGAGAUCGGGAGGAAUACCAGUGGCGAAGGCGGCAUUCUGGACUGACACUGACACUGAGGUGCGAAAGCGUGGGUAGCAAACAGGAUUAGAUACCCCUGUAGUC